RNAcentral lists this ribosomal RNA (372 nucleotides) under uncultured organism. Its description in RNAcentral is "bacterial SSU rRNA". It matches the Rfam family "Bacterial small subunit ribosomal RNA", at positions 526 to 896 of the family's 1533-position model. The record is from RNAcentral.
CAGAGGUCCCAAGCGUUGUUCGGAUUCACUGGGCGUAAAGGGUGCGUAGGUGGUGAGGUAAGUCGGAUGUGAAAUCUCCGAGCUCAACUCGGAAAUGGCAUUGGAAACUACCUUGCUCGGGGGUUGGAGGGGGGACUGGAAUGCUUGGUGUAGCAGUGAAAUGCGUAGAUAUCUAGCGGAACACCAGUGGCGAAGGCGAGUCCCUGGACAACUCCUGACACUGAGGCACGAAAGCUAGGGGAGCAAACAGGAUUAGAUACCCUGGUAGUCCUAGCCGUAAACGGUGCAUGUUUGCUGUAAAAGGAAUCGACCCCUUUUGUGGCGUAGCCAACGCGUUAAACAUGCCGCCUGGGAAGUACGGUCGCAAGAUUA